AGGACGAACGCUGGCGGCGUGCUUAACACAUGCAAGUCGAACGGGAGUAUUGAAGAAGCUUGCUUUAGAGAUACUUUAGUGGCGGACGGGUGAGUAACGCGUGAGGAGCUGUCCUAUGCAGGGGGACAACAGCUGGAAACGGCUGCUAAUACCCCAUAAGCCGAGAGGUAAAAGGAUCAAUCCGGCAGAGGAGGUACUCGCGUCCUAUCAGCUAGUAGGUGAGGUAACGGCUCACCUAGGCGAAGACGGGUAGCCGGCCUGAGAGGGCGAACGGCCACACUGGAACUGAGACACGGUCCAGACUCCUACGGGAGGCAGCAGUGGGGAAUAUUGGGCAAUGGGGGGAAACCCUGACCCAGCGACGCCGCGUGGGUGAAGAAAUCCUUCGGGAUGUAAAGCCCUGUUGUAUGGGAAGAGCGGAAGACGGUACCAUACGAGGAAGCCCCGGCAAACUACGUGCCAGCCGCGGC
RNAcentral lists this ribosomal RNA (470 nucleotides) under uncultured bacterium. RNAcentral's name for it is "bacterial SSU rRNA". It matches the Rfam family "Bacterial small subunit ribosomal RNA", at positions 26 to 518 of the family's 1533-position model. The record is from RNAcentral.